This 118-nucleotide ribosomal RNA is filed under the name Periophthalmus magnuspinnatus. Lineage: Eukaryota; Metazoa; Chordata; Actinopteri; Gobiiformes; Gobiidae. The record is from RNAcentral.
UUUUGUGGCCAAACCUCCUCGUCAAAGCCUCAUCUCAUCAGAUCUCAGAAGCUAAGUAGGACUGGGCCUGGUUAGUACUUGGAUGGGACACUUCUGGGAAUACCAGGUGUGACAGUGG